UCGAACGAAUCCCACCUGGGUAACUGGGUGGGGGAAGUGGCGAAAGGGGCAGUAAGGCAUGGCUAACCUACCCCGGGGACGGGGAUAGCCUUCCUAACGGAAGGGUAAUACCCGGCGAUGUGGCGAGGGGGCAUCUUCUUGCCAUGAAAUGAGUUUCGCCUCGGGAGGGGGUCAUGUGCUAUUAGCUUGUUGGCGGGGUAACGGCCCACCAAGGCUGAGAUGGCUAGCGGGUGUGAGAGCACGACCCGCGCCACUGGCACUGAGACACUGGCCAGACUCCUACGGGAGGCUGCAGUCGAGGAUCUUCGGCAAUGGGCGCAAGCCUGACCGAGCGACGCCGCGUGUGCGAUGAAGGCCUUCGGGUUGUAAAGCACUGUCGAGGGGGAGGAAAGCCCGCAAGGGUCUGACCUAUCCCUGGAGGAAGCACGGGCUAAGUUCGUGCCAGCAGCCGCGGUAAGACGAACCGUGCAAACGUUGUUCGGAUUCACUGGGCUUAAAGGGCGCGUAGGCGGCUUGUCAAGUCAGGGGUGAAAUCUUUCGGCUCAACCGGAAAACAGCUUCUGAUACUGGCAAGCUUGAGGGAGGUAGGGGCAGAUGGAACUUCCGGUGGAGCGGUGAAAUGCGUAGAUAUCGGAAGGAACGCCGGUGGCGAAAGCGAUCUGCUGGAUCUCUUCUGACGCUGAGGCGCGAAAGCCAGGGGAGCAACGGGAUUAGAUACCCCGGUAGUCCUGGCCCUAAACGAUGGGUACUAGGUAGUGGACUUGACAUG
RNAcentral lists this ribosomal RNA (769 nucleotides) under uncultured bacterium. RNAcentral describes it as "bacterial SSU rRNA". It matches the Rfam family "Bacterial small subunit ribosomal RNA", at positions 62 to 836 of the family's 1533-position model. The record is from RNAcentral.